CACGUAGGCGGGCUCUUAAGUCGGUGGUGAAAUCCUGGAGCUCAACUCCAGAACUGCCUUCGAUACUGAGAGUCUUCGAGUCCGGGAGAGGUGAGUGGAACUGCGAGUGUAGAGGUGAAAUUCGUAGAUAUUCGCAAGAACACCAGUGGCGAAGGCGGCUCACUGGCCCGGUACUGACGCUGAGGUGCGAAAGCGUGGGAGCAAACA
This 207-nucleotide ribosomal RNA is filed under the name uncultured bacterium. Its description in RNAcentral is "partial 16S ribosomal RNA". It matches the Rfam family "Bacterial small subunit ribosomal RNA", at positions 568 to 774 of the family's 1533-position model. The record is from RNAcentral.